UUUUGUGACUGAGUGGCGGACGGGUGAGUAACGCGUGGGUAACCUGCCUUGUACAGGGGGAUAACAGUUGGAAACGGCUGCUAAUACCGCAUAAGCGCACAGCAUCGCAUGAUGCAGUGUGAAAAACUCCGGUGGUAUAAGAUGGACCCGCGUUGGAUUAGCUAGUUGGUGAGGUAACGGCCCACCAAGGCGACGAUCCAUAGCCGACCUGAGAGGGUGACCGGCCACAUUGGGACUGAGACACGGCCCAAACUCCUACGGGAGGCAGCAGUGGGGAAUAUUGCACAAUGGGCGAAAGCCUGAUGCAGCGACGCCGCGUGAGCGAAGAAGUAUUUCGGUAUGUAAAGCUCUAUCAGCAGGGAAGAUAAUGACGGUACCUGACUAAGAAGCACCGGCUAAAUACGUGCCAGCAGCCGCGGUAAUACGUAUGGUGCAAGCGUUAUCCGGAUUUACUGGGUGUAAAGGGAGCGCAGGCGGUGCGGCAAGUCUGAUGUGAAAGCCCGGGGCUCAACCCCGGUACUGCAUUGGAAACUGUCGUACUAGAGUGUCGGAGGGGUAAGCGGAAUUCCUAGUGUAGCGGUGAAAUGCGUAGAUAUUAGGAGGAACACCAG
Molecule: ribosomal RNA, 611 nt
Filed under: uncultured Lachnospiraceae bacterium
Lineage: Bacteria; Bacillati; Bacillota; Clostridia; Lachnospirales; Lachnospiraceae
Description: bacterial SSU rRNA
Rfam family: Bacterial small subunit ribosomal RNA
Source: RNAcentral